This is a non-coding RNA of Desulfobulbus sp. Tol-SR, 174 nucleotides long. It matches the Rfam family "6S / SsrS RNA". Rfam says of the family: E. coli 6S RNA was the first non coding RNA to be sequenced, but its function was unknown until recently. It consists of 184 nucleotides that fold into an extended hairpin structure with a large single-stranded internal bulge. The record is from Rfam. Lineage: Bacteria; Pseudomonadati; Thermodesulfobacteriota; Desulfobulbia; Desulfobulbales; Desulfobulbaceae.
AUUUCCCUGUGCUGUUGGUGAUCUGCGGUGUGUGUUGAGCCAACUCUCAUUAAAAGGGUACUUCCACUGGUAGAUGAUGGAAAAUCGUUCGCGAAUUUCCUGAAGAUAGCACGAAGCUGCCCACCUAAUUCAUUAGGUUUAACUGUCCUGCAGACACGGCAGUGUGGGGAAAUC